RNAcentral lists this long non-coding RNA (982 nucleotides) under Lathyrus oleraceus (garden pea). RNAcentral describes it as "Pisum sativum (pea) long non-coding RNA (PSAT_LNC023955)". Lineage: Eukaryota; Viridiplantae; Streptophyta; Magnoliopsida; Fabales; Fabaceae. The record is from RNAcentral.
GCCUAUUUGACAUAAUUGUUUGUGUAUAUAAAUAAUAGUUUGCUUAACCAUUAAGUAAUAUAAUAGUUGUAAGAGCAGUAUAUGUAGUAGUGUGUGCGCAACCAUUUACUAUAACCGCUUUAUAGAGUAGUCAAAGUUUAUUAUUCUCUCUUUCUCUUCUUUCAUCUUCAUCCAUUUCACCUUGUUCACCAACAAUAAUUGUGGUGUGGAGAUGGCUUGGAUAAAAUCUUCUAAUUUUACUUCUUUUUAUCUUAUUGAAUUGCCAAUCCUUCUCAGUGCUUAAAUAUAACUUAGGGGAUACCUAUUUCAGUAUCACUUAUUGAAGUUUUUGGGAUCUUUAUGCUGUGUCUUCAGGUGCUUGGUGGUUCUGCUGUGUUUCGGAUCAAGCGAUAAUGCGCUUCUGUUUUUCUUCUCCAAUUGUUGUAUCUCUAAAGCUGGUUGUGCAUGAUCAUUUAGAAUUGACAGUUGUGUUCUUUAUAUGCAGCAGAGCUCUUCUUGUUUUGACGGUGGUGCUGUGCAGCGUUUCAGAUCUUUCUGGAAGUGUCUGUCCUUUUUAGUUUUUGGAGAAUUCAGGCUGCAGCAGUCAGUUUGUUUUCCUGUGAUUGCAGCAUGUUGAUCCGGGUUUUGUUCCAUUUAGUGGAGCCGGUGUUUUUUCUGCCCAACUUUUCAAAUCACGCGUUAUGUUGUUUUUGUCUCUGGAAUGCAAGGUUCCGCUUUUUGAAAAUGUUGGGGUGCUGAUUUUAUCUACCUUUUUCUCCUUUCAGAUCUGUUUCUGCUUAAUGCUGUUAGUGGAAGAUUGAAUUUGAUAUCAGUUGAUAAGUGUUUGUUUUGAUAGUUUCUAUUGUCGCAUAGGAUUUUUUUGUUAGUCUUGGAGCCUAAGGUUGGCAGGUUGGGUGAUUCCUUAGUAGAGAGUGAUUUUUUAUUUAGAAGUGGGGUUGGAUCGUAAUUAAUAUUGGCAACAAGUAAAGGGGUACGUGUGUAU